CUCUCCGUGCUGGAUGUCUGCACCGAGCCCAUCACCGUCGACGGCCUUUUCUAUCUCGUGGCCAACUAUGAGCAGCGGGUUGAGAUGUUUCAUGGCACCACCAGUUUCAAGUCGGCCGCCAACGCUGCCUUGCACGGCUGUGGUGGUGGUGGCAAGGGUGGCUACCGCAAGGGCGGGGGUUCUGGUGGCCCUCGCAGCGGCGGCGGCUAUGGCCCAGGUAGCGGUGGCGACUAUGGCACAAGCAGCGGCGGCGGCUACAGCGCUGGUGGUGGCAGCGGCCACGGCGCUGGCGGCGGCUACGGCACAGGAGGUGGCGGUGGCUACCAAAACCCUAACCCUAGUUCUGGCGGGGGUUAUGGCUUCCAACAGAACAAUGGUGGGGGCUAUCAAGGUGGUGGUGGUGGUGGUGGUGGCCACUACCAUCAGAACAACUACGGUGGUGGCAACAACAACAAUCGGCGCCCCCCCCCCUUCCCUGGCAACAACAAUCGGGGGAGCAACUUCCAAGGGUAUGAAGGUUAUGAAAACAAGUGCCAAAUUUGCAAGAAAACAAAUCAUAUUGCAAAAUAUUGUGAUUGGCGCUAUGCCGAUGACAACAAUGCCCAGAAAAAAGAAAAUUGCAGCUGCAGCUGA
RNAcentral lists this ribosomal RNA (633 nucleotides) under Triticum aestivum (bread wheat). RNAcentral's name for it is "partial small subunit ribosomal RNA". The record is from RNAcentral. Lineage: Eukaryota; Viridiplantae; Streptophyta; Magnoliopsida; Poales; Poaceae.